Molecule: long non-coding RNA, 472 nt
Organism: Asparagus officinalis (garden asparagus)
Lineage: Eukaryota; Viridiplantae; Streptophyta; Magnoliopsida; Asparagales; Asparagaceae
Exons: 2
Source: RefSeq, a predicted model, not a curated record
CAGCAGCUGCCAUUAAGAUUGCACAUCGUCCGGAGAAUGAAGGAAAACUAAUUGUGGUUGUUUUCCCCAGCUUUGGAGAGCGAUAUCUUUCCUCGGUUCUCUUCCAGUCGAUAAAGAAGGAAGCUGAGAGCAUGGUGUUUGAGACCUCUUCCAGUUUAUAAAGAAGGAAAGCUGAGAGGUAUGUAGUGUGUUUGAGCCCUGAGCAAAAUAUGCUUGUAACAAACUGAAUGAAGAAUAAGCAAGGCAUCCUUUGUACUUUUAUGGGAGUUCUUAAGGAUCCUUUUGCGCGUUGCCUAUUUUCAGAAUAAUCUAUAGACGUGUAUCUUUGACGUUGUGUUAUAAGGGUGUAAAUUGAGCACCUUGUUCUUUAGGACUGCGCUAAAUGAGUUAAAUGGCUGUUCCAUUUUCUGCUUUGGGAAUGCAAAUAUGAGGACAAUUUAGGUAUUGGUUGCCUGAGAAGUUGAUCUUUCUA